RNAcentral lists this long non-coding RNA (555 nucleotides) under Salmo salar (Atlantic salmon). RNAcentral's name for it is "lncRNA (ENSSSAG00000105614.1)". The record is from RNAcentral. Lineage: Eukaryota; Metazoa; Chordata; Actinopteri; Salmoniformes; Salmonidae.
CCAGGUCCAGUCUUGUACCCCUAGCCCCUCCGCCCCAGGUCCAGUCUUGUACCCCUAGCCCCUCCGCCCCAGGUCCAGUCUUGUACCCCUAGCCCCUCCGCCCCUGGUCCAGUCUUGUGCCCCUAGCCCCUCCGCCCCAGGUCCAGUCUUGUACCCCUAGCCCCUCCGCCCCAGGUCCAGUCUUGUACCCCUAGCCCCUCCGCCCCAGGUCCAGUCUUGUGCCCCAGGUCCAGUCUUGUGCCCCUAGCCCCUCCGCCCCAGUCUUGUGCCCCUAGCCCCUCCGCCCCAGGUCCAGUCUUGUGCCCCAGGUCCAGUCUUGUGCCCCUAGCCCCUCCGCCCCAGGUCCAGUCCUGUGCCCCAGGUCCAGUCCUGUGCCCCUCCGCCCCAGGCCCAGUCCUGUGCCCCUCCGCCCCAGGCCCAGUCCUGUGCCCCUCCGCCCCAGGCCCAGUCCUGUGCCCCUCCGCCCCAGGCCCAGUCCUGUGCCCCUCCGCCCCAGGCCCAGUCCUGUGCCCCUCCGCCCCAGGUCCCAGUCCUGUGACCCUCCACCCCAGGCCC